Molecule: ribosomal RNA, 256 nt
Filed under: uncultured bacterium
Lineage: Bacteria
Description: partial 16S ribosomal RNA
Rfam family: Bacterial small subunit ribosomal RNA
Source: RNAcentral
UACGAAGGGGGCUAGCGUUGCUCGGAAUCACUGGGCGUAAAGCGCACGUAGGCGGAUCUUUAAGUCAGGGGUGAAAUCCUGGAGCUCAACUCCAGAACUGCCUUUGAUACUGGGGAUCUCGAGUCCGGGAGAGGUGAGUGGAACUCCGAGUGUAGAGGUGAAAUUCGUAGAUAUUCGCAAGAACACCAGUGGCGAAGGCGGCUCACUGGCCCGAGUACUGACGCUGAGGCACGAAAGCGUGGGGAAGCAAACAGGG